Small nuclear RNA from Myotis lucifugus (little brown bat), 189 nucleotides. Its record names the gene U2. It matches the Rfam family "U2 spliceosomal RNA". Rfam says of the family: U2 is a small nuclear RNA (snRNA) component of the spliceosome (involved in pre-mRNA splicing). Complementary binding between U2 snRNA (in an area lying towards the 5' end but 3' to hairpin I) and the branchpoint sequence (BPS) of the intron results the bulging out of an unpaired adenosine, on the BPS, which initiates a nucleophilic attack at the intronic 5' splice site, thus starting the first of two transesterification reactions that mediate splicing. NCBI's taxonomy places the organism in Eukaryota, Metazoa, Chordata, Mammalia, Chiroptera, Vespertilionidae. The record is from Ensembl.
AUCACUUCUCGGCCUUUUGGCUAAGAUCAAGUGUAGUAUCUUCUUAUCAGUUUAACAUCUGAUACGUCCUCUAUCUGAGAACAUUAUAUUAAAUGUAUUUUUGGAAUAAGGAGAUGGAAUAGGAGCUUGCUCCGUCUACUCCACGCAUCGACCCGGUAUUGCAGUACCUCUGGGAACGGUGCACCAAGG